RNAcentral lists this ribosomal RNA (503 nucleotides) under uncultured eukaryote. RNAcentral's name for it is "LSU rRNA". It matches the Rfam family "Eukaryotic large subunit ribosomal RNA", at positions 320 to 658 of the family's 3401-position model. The record is from RNAcentral.
AUAUUGGUGCGAGACCGAUAGCGAACAAGUACCGUGAGGGAAAGAUGAAAAGAACUUUGAAAAGAGAGUUAAAGAGUACCUGAAACUGCUGAAAGGGAACCGAAUCGUUUCCAGUAUCUAUAAUCCGUGGUAUAUUUCAUUGGCGAGUGUGUGCGUGCGUGUGCUGUGGCAGUGGCUUUUUUGGCUGCGCUCGGCGUGUGUGCUGUGUGUGCUUGCUGGUGCCCUGUGCUGCGGUGGGACGUCAAGGUCAGUUCGUAUGCUGCGGGAAAUGGCUGCCGAGGAGGUAGGGCUUACGCUUGCGUUUGUCUGUUAUAUCUUGGUGGACGAGUUGUCGCGGUUGGGACUGAGGUGCCUACAACGUGCUUUUGAGUGAGUUUGUGUCUCCGUGUGCGCCGUGUGUGGAUAGCUUGCUAUGUAUGUGCGGUUGUGUGUGGAUUGAUGCGGGCUUUAACUUGUUGCCGUUCGGGACGUUGGCGAAAUGGAGCGAUCCGACCCGUCUUGAA